Molecule: ribosomal RNA, 253 nt
Filed under: uncultured bacterium
Lineage: Bacteria
Description: partial 16S ribosomal RNA
Rfam family: Bacterial small subunit ribosomal RNA
Source: RNAcentral
UACGAAGGGGGCUAGCGUUGCUCGGAAUCACUGGGCGUACAGCGCACGUAGGCGGCUUGUUAAGUCAGGGGUGAAAUCCUGGAGCUCAACUCCAGAACUGCCUUUGAUACUGGCGAGCUUGAGUUCGGGAGAGGUGAGUGGAACUGCGAGUGUAGAGGUGAAAUUCGUAGAUAUUCGCAAGAACACCAGUGGCGAAGGCGGCUCACUGGCCCGAUACUGACGCUGAGGUGCGAAAGCGUGGGGAGCAAACAGG